Long non-coding RNA from Trematomus bernacchii (emerald rockcod), 273 nucleotides. RefSeq lists it as uncharacterized. The transcript is spliced from 5 exons. The record is from RefSeq and is a predicted model, not a curated record. Lineage: Eukaryota; Metazoa; Chordata; Actinopteri; Perciformes; Nototheniidae.
UGUGUGUGUGUGUGUGUGUGUGUGUGUGUGUGUGUGUGUGUGAGAGAGGAGCUGCCAUCCACAGGAAGUACUUCAUACUUUAGCAGCAGCUUCAGGAAAAACAAAAAUGGCAAGACGACCAAGGUGGUUUCUGUGGUGUCUGCUGCUGGUUCCGGUCGUCUUGCUCCUCACUCUCUCCCUGCAGGAGUACAGUAGCUCAGUGCAGGAUAUCAAAGAGGACUUGCGUCGGGCGUUACUCUAAACAGCAAGAGGGGGUCCUGGUCAGAACAAGAA